CCUACGGGUGGCAGCAGUGAGGAAUAUUGGUCAAUGAACGAGAGUCUGAACCAGCCAAGUAGCGUGAAGGAUGACUGCCCUAUGGGUUGUAAGCUUCUUUUAUAUGGGAAUAAAAUGUUCCACGUGUGGGAUUUUGUAUGUACCAUAUGUAUACGGAUCGGCUACCUCCGUGCCAUCAGCCGCGUUAAUACGGAGGAUCCGUGCGUUAUCCGGAUUGAUUGUGUUUAAAGGGAUCGGAGGUGGAUUGUUAAGUCAGUUGUGAAAGUUUGCGGCUCAACCGUAAAAUUGCAGUUGAAACUGGCAGUCUGGAGUACAGUAGAGGUGGGCGGAAUUCGUGGUGUAGCGGUGAAAUGCUUAGAUAUCACGAAGAACUCCGAUUGCGAAGGCAGCUCACUGGACUGCAACUGACACUGAGGCUCGAAAGUGUGGGUAUCAAACAGGAUGAGAUACCCUUGUAGUC
RNAcentral lists this ribosomal RNA (460 nucleotides) under uncultured bacterium. Its description in RNAcentral is "partial 16S ribosomal RNA". It matches the Rfam family "Bacterial small subunit ribosomal RNA", at positions 338 to 795 of the family's 1533-position model. The record is from RNAcentral.